Molecule: long non-coding RNA, 656 nt
Organism: Gossypium raimondii (Peruvian cotton)
Lineage: Eukaryota; Viridiplantae; Streptophyta; Magnoliopsida; Malvales; Malvaceae
Exons: 2
Source: RefSeq, a predicted model, not a curated record
UGGGCUGCUGCUAGUGGGCUGCUGCUGGUCCACCGAAUAUGGCCUGCUGUUUUUCCCUUUUUUUUCUUUAUUUUUCUGGGCUACUUUGCCUUUUUUUUAAAAGGCCUGUUUCCCUUUUUUUUGGUUUCUGGGUCGGGUGCGGGUUGGAUUCGGGUCGGGCCGGCCCGAAAAAAAUUAUUUUUUCUUUUUUUUUCUUUCCCUUUUUUUCUCUCUUUUUUCCUUCCUUCUUUUUCUUCUUUCUUUUUCCUUCUUCGUUCGCCCCCUAGUCCAAAUUCACGCUAUUGCGCCGCCGCCGCUUCUUCCGACCGUGGUACGACGGUGCCGGGGAAGGAAAUCAUGGCCUAGGGAGCUGCCGGAGUAGCUGGUGGUGGCAGGAGCAUGCUCGGAUGCCGAUUGGGUGAUUGGACAAGUCUAGAAGGACCAAAACGUAGAAGGCACAAAAUAUUUGGGGUAAAAAUGUAAUUUUAGGAAAAUAUAGGGCCAAGAUGUAAUUUUUAAAAAGUUUAGGGGUCAAAGUGAAAUUUUGAGAAAGUUUAGGGGUUGAAAUGUAAUUUUAGAAAAGUUUAGGGUCAAAAUGCAAAUUUCAAAAAGUAUAAGGGUCAAAAUGUAAUUUUUAUUUUUUGCAUUUUAUAUUUUUUUUCGAGAUUUUUUUAUUA